This 72-nucleotide transfer RNA is filed under the name Camelus bactrianus (Bactrian camel). It matches the Rfam family "tRNA". Rfam says of the family: Transfer RNA (tRNA) molecules are approximately 80 nucleotides in length. Their secondary structure includes four short double-helical elements and three loops (D, anti-codon, and T loops). The record is from Rfam by way of RNAcentral. RNAcentral also lists the same sequence under 3 other names. Lineage: Eukaryota; Metazoa; Chordata; Mammalia; Artiodactyla; Camelidae.
GAGGGUAUAGCACAGUAGUAGAGCACGUGCUUAACAUGCACCAGGUCCUGGGUUCAAUCCCCAGUACCUCCA